UACGGGGGAGGCAAGCGUUAUCCGGAAUUAUUGGGCGUAAAGCGUCCGCAGGUGGUCAGCCAAGUCUGCUGUCAAAUCAGGUUGCUUAACGACCUAAAGGCGGUGGAAACUGGCAGACUAGAGAGCAGUAGGGGUAGCAGGAAUUCCCAGUGUAGCGGUGAAAUGCGUAGAGAUUGGGAAGAACAUCGGUGGCGAAAGCGUGCUACUGGGCUGUAUCUGACACUCAGGGACGAAAGCUAGGGGAGCGAAAGGG
RNAcentral lists this ribosomal RNA (253 nucleotides) under uncultured Microcystis sp. Its description in RNAcentral is "partial 16S ribosomal RNA". It matches the Rfam family "Bacterial small subunit ribosomal RNA", at positions 524 to 776 of the family's 1533-position model. The record is from RNAcentral. Lineage: Bacteria; Bacillati; Cyanobacteriota; Cyanophyceae; Chroococcales; Microcystaceae.